GAACAUGAUAGAUUAAAUUUACUUCUUGGGAGGAAAUAUAAAUCAGGCUCACUUGGCUUAACAAGCUCCCUAGCAGUUGUCACGUUUGGAAUGAAUGAAGUGGAAAGGAGAAGCAGAGAGAGUAGGAGGAAUGUCUUUGGAAGAAGCAUUUUCCUUUUAUCCGCUCUACCUCAUUCUCCUGAAAUGCGAUGAUCCUUCUACCAAG
This 205-nucleotide long non-coding RNA is filed under the name Phoenix dactylifera (date palm). Its description in RNAcentral is "long non-coding RNA (PDAC_LNC016604)". The record is from RNAcentral. Lineage: Eukaryota; Viridiplantae; Streptophyta; Magnoliopsida; Arecales; Arecaceae.